GCGCCAGUAGCUCAGUAGGAUAGAGCAGCAGCCUUCUAAGCUGCGGGUCAGGGGUUCGAAUCCCUUCUGGCGUGCCA
This 77-nucleotide transfer RNA is filed under the name Cloacimonas acidaminivorans (SeqCode). RNAcentral's name for it is "Candidatus Cloacimonas acidaminovorans tRNA-Arg". It matches the Rfam family "tRNA". From Rfam's summary of the family: Transfer RNA (tRNA) molecules are approximately 80 nucleotides in length. Their secondary structure includes four short double-helical elements and three loops (D, anti-codon, and T loops). Further hydrogen bonds mediate the characteristic L-shaped molecular structure. tRNAs have two regions of fundamental functional importance: the anti-codon, which is responsible for specific mRNA codon recognition, and the 3' end, to which the tRNAs corresponding amino acid is attached (by aminoacyl-tRNA synthetases). tRNAs cope with the degeneracy of the genetic code in two manners: having more than one tRNA (with a specific anti-codon) for a particular amino acid; and 'wobble' base-pairing, i.e. permitting non-standard base-pairing at the 3rd anti-codon position. The record is from RNAcentral. RNAcentral also lists the same sequence under 7 other names. Lineage: Bacteria; Pseudomonadati; Candidatus Cloacimonadota; Cloacimonadia (SeqCode); Cloacimonadales (SeqCode); Cloacimonadaceae (SeqCode).